UUCCAUUUAAUUUUCCCCAUCUGCCUUCUUUCUCAACUCAUCUGUUCGUGAAACAGAGUGCAGAAACACAAAACGCAGAAUAACAAAAUCCUCGAAAAACCUCCAAAAUAAAACAUAAAAAGAAUAAGAAAAGGAACAAAAAAUUGAGAGCAGAAGCAAACCUUAAUCUCCCCUUAAUUAUCAGACACCAGUACUCAAAUUGUGUUUUACUUACAUCAGCAUGUGGGUACUUUAGAGAGAGAGAGGAGAGAAGGGAACAGGAAAAAAAAUCAAGAAAAUUACAGAGAUUAAUGUUGCUGCUUCAAUUGGUGCUACAACAAAACUAGUUUCUCUCGCAUCAUCAUCGUUAAAAGUUGUUCUUCCCCGAUUUGCGAGAUCGAGAAAUGGACGCGAAUUUAUAAUACACCCACUUUUGGCUACAAAUAAUAUUAUUUUCCGGCACCGAAUUAAUAUGCGUCGGAAUCACACCGUCUUGUUGGAGGAAUAAAAAAUAAUCAAAAGGUCGAUUCUCAACGUCGUUGCCUGUACAACAAUCUUGAGAGAAACCCACAAGAUUUACUCGCUUCUCUCUCUAUGACAAUUUGGGUAAUAAUUUCUUCCUGCGAUAGGUGAUGAAAUGAUGGGAUAAAGAAGUUGGGGUAAGAAUCGAUAACCGAUGAAAGGAUGGGGAAGAAGAAUAAUGAGGGGAAAAGAAUUUCAAUGAAUUUGAUAAAGAGAGGCACGCAGAUAACAAAAGGAAAAAAGAAAAAAAGAAAAAAGAAACAGAAAAAUA
RNAcentral lists this long non-coding RNA (772 nucleotides) under Erythranthe guttata (spotted monkey flower). Its description in RNAcentral is "long non-coding RNA (EGUT_LNC003641)". The record is from RNAcentral. Lineage: Eukaryota; Viridiplantae; Streptophyta; Magnoliopsida; Lamiales; Phrymaceae.